AUUCGCGGCCUAUCAGCUUGUUGGUGAGGUAACGGCUCACCAAGGCUUCGACGGGUAGCCGGCCUGAGAGGGCGACCGGCCACACUGGGACUGAGAUACGGCCCAGACUCCUACGGGAGGCAGCAGUGGGGAAUAUUGCACAAUGGGCGAAAGCCUGAUGCAGCAACGCCGCGUGCGGGAUGACGGCCUUCGGGUUGUAAACCGCUUUCAGUAGGGACGAAGCGCAAGUGACGGUACCUACAGAAGAAGCACCGGCCAACUACGUGCCAGCAGCCGCGGUGAUACGUAGGGUGCGAGCGUUGUCCGGAAUUAUUGGGCGUAAAGAGCUCGUAGGCGGUCUGUCACGUCGGAAGUGAAAACUCAGGGCUCAACCCUGAGCCUGCUUCCGAUACGGGCUGACUAGAGGAAGGUAGGGGAGAUUGGAAUUCCUGGUGGAGCGGUGGAAUGCGCAGAUAUCAGGAGGAACACCGGUGGCGAAGGCGGAUCUCUGGACCUUUCCUGACGCUGAGGAGCGAAAGCGUGGGGAGCAAACAGGCUUAGAUACCCUGGUAGUCCACGCCGUAAACGGUGGGCACUAGGUGUGGGACUCAUUCCACGAGUUCCGUGCCGAAGCUAACGCAUUAAGUGCCCCGCCUGGGGAGUACGGAAU
RNAcentral lists this ribosomal RNA (649 nucleotides) under uncultured Actinomycetes bacterium. RNAcentral describes it as "bacterial SSU rRNA". It matches the Rfam family "Bacterial small subunit ribosomal RNA", at positions 229 to 888 of the family's 1533-position model. Lineage: Bacteria; Bacillati; Actinomycetota; Actinomycetes. The record is from RNAcentral.